RNAcentral lists this ribosomal RNA (484 nucleotides) under uncultured bacterium. RNAcentral describes it as "partial 16S ribosomal RNA". It matches the Rfam family "Bacterial small subunit ribosomal RNA", at positions 30 to 507 of the family's 1533-position model. The record is from RNAcentral.
AUUGAACGCUGGCGGCAGGCCUAACACAUGCAAGUCGAGCGGAUGAAGGGAGCUUGCUCCUGGAUUCAGCGGCGGACGGGUGAGUAAUGCCUAGGAAUCUGCCUGGUAGUGGGGGAUAACGUCCGGAAACGGGCGCUAAUACCGCAUACGUCCUGAGGGAGAAAGUGGGGGAUCUUCGGACCUCACGCUAUCAGAUGAGCCUAGGUCGGAUUAGCUAGUUGGUGGGGUAAAGGCCUACCAAGGCGACGAUCCGUAACUGGUCUGAGAGGAUGAUCAGUCACACUGGAACUGGGACACGGUCCGGACUCCUACGGGAGGCAGCAGUGGGGAAUAUUGGACAAUGGGCGAAAGCCUGAUCCAGCCAUGCCGCGUGUGUGAAGAAGGUCUUCGGAUUGUAAAGCACUUUAAGUUGGGAGGAAGGGCAGUAAGUUAAUACCUUGCUGUUUUGACGUUACCAACAGAAUAAGCACCGGCUAACUUCGUG